CCUCUAGUACGGUUAUUGACCGGAUGCGGACGUUAAUAACCACGAGGAGGAUACACUGAUUUGUUCAACGGAUAAUAUUUUUAUAACAAAUUAAAACCCAUGUACAGAAUAAUACGUUUAUUAUAAUUAAUAUCUGUGCAAUUACAUAAACAUACAUGUAUUAUUCUCUUCAGCGUUACUCAAUAAGACCGACACCAAUUAUUCUCAUUACCGUUCUCGGCUCGAAGCACUGGACGGAUUUAGGAAUAGUAGCAUCAGAUCACAAGAGCCAACACUGGGCAACUUUUGGUAGCCCAGCUUCUUCUAUAUAUAUUGAUCGGAUACGUAACUCAUCUGCGAGAAGCGUUCCGGCGCAGUACGUAGCGGUUCCCUGCACGCCCCCUACCCACUACAUUGCCCCCCGAGCCGUCCAAGGGGUCACCUUGAAUCGGCGCGGAAACCACGCAGCGGGGGAAGGGGGGUGCCACCGAUCCUACUUUUCAAUCAGAGGCCGGAUAGCCAAAGAUUUACAAGUAGGGCGUACUUUCCCUAGACCAAUUUUUAAAACAAAUAUCGAAAGAUGGAGAGACUCGGUUCAAAGAACCCCCUACUUUAAUUCUAAUUUCAUUAAAACAAUAAAAAAUUCUUAAUACUAAGUAUAAAAUAACAAAAAAUUGGCAAAAACGCCGGUCAAUUAAAAGAAAUAAAAAACAUUACAACAUAGUUAAAAAUAUCGACUGUACACAGCGCUAUAGUAGCGUCACGAUUACAAAAAAAUAGAAGUUGGCAGCAGUGGCCGAAAAUCAACAACAACAGCGUCGUGUUUGUAAACACGACGAUAAAAAAUGGUUGACAAUUCCAAAAUUUACAAUUUUUUAUCAAAUUUGAGUUUUUUACCCUACAAAUUCUCGCUUAAAUGCGGUAACUGCAAAGGACGAUGUUGUCGACGAUGUUUUUCGACGCUGGAUACGAUGACCGGCCACUCAACCGCAUAUUUCAGGAUGACUCAUCUCACUACUCAUUGCUGCUGGUAUUUUAUCAAUGGUGAUAAUUUCCAUAGUUCAAUUUGGAACCGAAGACUUUUCUCAAUUUGUUUGAAUUGAAUUUUGAUUUUUGCUCGGUAUCUACGGUUGCUUUGGUCGAACGUUACGAUGAAAUGAUUUUGGAUUUUGCCUUUUUCUUCUUCGAGCGUUUUUGCGAGGUGUUUUUUACGCAUAAAUAACAGGAGUUUUUCUAGCACGAAAUCCGCCGGAAAUACUUCGACCUUGUGCCUUGCUGGAAUUGUUCGCUGCGAUAAUACCGUGAAAGAACGGUUAAUUAUUGUCACCACAUUCACCGUCACCGGAGGUGUAAUGACGUGCACCCGUACCAUUUCUUGGUCUGAAACAGAAAACACAUUCAUCGUUCUGCGAGGUCUUCUUGACCUGCGUGAUGCACGAUUUGGAUAGCUCGACCCCCGAAGGUACUCGGCAUAAUUUUGUGGCGGUGGUUGAUUAUACGAUUCGCGAUAUUGGUCAGGCGGAUACCGAUUGCCUGCACUUUGCUGAUAGGUUUGGUGGUUGGUUUGUUGGCGAUUGGGCUGUCUGAACCUGUUACCCAUGUUCGGCUUGAACUUUCGCUUCAGUGGUCGUUGACCUUGCCCCCUGGGCAUUUGGUGCCUUUGUUUUGGCUUUGGGUGAUCGUAUUUCGGUGGCUGUCGCUAGCCGAGUUAUUUUCCGAAGAUUCUGACGAUGGAGCCAGCUUUUUUCCGGUAGCCAGUUCGAGCUCGCGAAACAAGUAUUCGACUAAGUCGUUGGAAGAUGAAGUGAAACUUGGUGGCGAAUACCCUGACGACGAUUUCACCGGUCGCUGUUGUAUUUUAUCAUCGUCGGAGUCGAACAAUGAUUCGACGUGUUUGUUCUGGUUUGCAGUUAACGACGGCGAGACAUUUUUGGCAGAUACCUUCGGCAAUGGUGCUGGUGACUUCGGAGGUUUAGCAGUUUUGGCGGUUGCUUUUGUCGUUGGUUCGGAUUUUUUCUCGGUGGCUUUCGAUUGUUUCUCGUUGCGCUUCGCUUUUUUGGUGCGCUUAGACUUCUUUUUAGUUGAUUUGGAGGAGAGGUACCGAUGAUUUUAGGUAUUUUAAACUCAGAAAUCUUACCUUCGUUCUCGACAACGGGUAUCUCUUCGAAUGAAGCACCAGCGAUUUGCAUCGAAUGGCGGCGGAUCGGCGGCGAAUUUUGGGGCGAAU
This is a long non-coding RNA of Planococcus citri (citrus mealybug), 2206 nucleotides long. RefSeq lists it as uncharacterized. The transcript has 9 exons. The record is from RefSeq and is a predicted model, not a curated record. Lineage: Eukaryota; Metazoa; Arthropoda; Insecta; Hemiptera; Pseudococcidae.